RNAcentral lists this ribosomal RNA (582 nucleotides) under Colletotrichum sp. ITCC 2041. Its description in RNAcentral is "eukaryotic LSU rRNA". The stretch from base 222 to 375 matches the Rfam family "5.8S ribosomal RNA". The record is from RNAcentral. Lineage: Eukaryota; Fungi; Ascomycota; Sordariomycetes; Glomerellales; Glomerellaceae.
UCGUAACAAGGUCUCCGUUGGUGAACCAGCGGAGGGAUCAUUACUGAGUUACCGCUCAUCAACCCUUUGUGAACAUACCUUAACUGUUGCUUCGGCGGGUAGGCGUCCCCUAAAAAGGACGUCUCCCGGCCCUCUCCCGUCCGCGGGUGGGGCGCCCGCCGGAGGAUAACCAAACUCUGAUUUAACGACGUUUCUUCUGAGUGACACAAGCAAAUAAUCAAAACUUUUAACAACGGAUCUCUUGGUUCUGGCAUCGAUGAAGAACGCAGCGAAAUGCGAUAAGUAAUGUGAAUUGCAGAAUUCAGUGAAUCAUCGAAUCUUUGAACGCACAUUGCGCCCGCCAGCAUUCUGGCGGGCAUGCCUGUUCGAGCGUCAUUUCAACCCUCAAGCUCUGCUUGGUGUUGGGGCUCUACGGUUGACGUAGGCCCUUAAAGGUAGUGGCGGACCCUCUCGGAGCCUCCUUUGCGUAGUAACAUUUCGUCUCGCAUUGGGAUUCGGAGGGACUCUAGCCGUAAAACCCCCAAUUUUACUAAGGUUGACCUCGGAUCAGGUAGGAAUACCCGCUGAACUUAAGCAUAUCAA